RNAcentral lists this ribosomal RNA (532 nucleotides) under uncultured bacterium. Its description in RNAcentral is "bacterial SSU rRNA". It matches the Rfam family "Bacterial small subunit ribosomal RNA", at positions 773 to 1301 of the family's 1533-position model. The record is from RNAcentral.
AGAGAAUAGAUACCCAGGUAGUCCACGCCCUAAACGAUGGAUACUAGGCGUAGGAGGUAUCGACCCCUCCUGUGCCGCAGCAAACGCAUUAAGUAUCCCGCCUGGGGAGUACGGCCGCAAGGUUGAAACUCAAAUGAAUUGACGGGGACCCGCACAAGCGGUGGAGCAUGUGGAUUAAUUCGAUACUAACCGAAGAACCUUACCCACUCUUGACAUUGAAGGAAAGCUCUAGAGAUAGGGCCCUCUCCCACAAGGAGACCUGAAAACAGAUGUUGCAUGGCUGUCGUCAGCUCGUGCCGUGAGGUGUACGGUUAAGUCCGCCAACGAGCGCAACCCUCGUUCUGUGUUACCAGCGAGUAAAGUCGGGCACUCACAGGAGACCGCCGGUGUAAGCCGGAGGAAGGUGGGGAUGAUGUCAAGUCAGCAUGGCUCUUACGAGUGGGGCUUCACACAUGCUACAAUGGGCGCAACAAAGGGCCGCGAUACCGUGAGGUGGAGCAAAUCCCAAAAAUACGUCCUCAGUUCAGAUUGC